Molecule: long non-coding RNA, 2128 nt
Organism: Oreochromis aureus
Lineage: Eukaryota; Metazoa; Chordata; Actinopteri; Cichliformes; Cichlidae
Source: Ensembl
AAGGGUCAGAGUCGCUUUUCGUUUGAAUUCAUACUUUCUGCAUCCUGCUUACUGCUCAUUGGCUGAAAACACAUCAUGGUUGGUAUUCAUAUACUUUGACCCGGACGCUGCUAGGAUCCUAAACAUCGGAGGCUUACCCUACCUCUGAUAUCUUUUAGACUUUAUUAUGGUAGUUCUUAAAAAUGAUUUACUAUAUUUUAUAUAAAAUGCCAAACAUUGUCACAGCUCUAGCAGGGCUUUGUGUCUCGUCGUACCCAUCUCGCCAGAGCACAGCUGGGGUUGAUAAAGCAAUCAGCCACCCAGAAGUACCAGUAUAUAAGCUGUCAGUGAGUGGCCCAGUCCUGGGUGGUGAGCUGGUUGGUGUUUCCUUUGAGCUGUUAGUGAGUAGCUGGUACCUGCCAGCAGCACAGCUUACCCUCUGGAUAUUUUAGUGUAAGGAUGACUUUGGUUGAACUAGCAGUGUGGAGGCCUCUUUGAGUCCCUUGAAUAAGACUUUGCUCUGCUCUUUUCAUCUCCUGGUCAUACUCCUCUCAUCGUCUAAUCCUUAUUCUCAGGCAUGUUUACCUAAAGCUUGAUGUGACAGAAUCAUGUACCAACCCAGGCCACAAGAUGGCAGCGUGAAGGCUGGAUGCACACUGACAGGCCAGGAGCUUUAUGACUGCUUUACUUUGGUACGUUUCAAUUAUGUCUAUUGUUAGAUUUGACAAGGCAAGCAGUGCUUGUCCUGAUUACUGUCUUUAUGGCAAGCUCUAAAGACACAAAAUAUGUUUACAGCCAAACAGGUAAGUUACAGUAAAAAAGGAGAAAAGCAGGCUGACGUCCGUCAGAGCAGACACAUGGUUUCAUGUUUACAGCUGUCCCCUGAUGUUCAUUUGUUUAAUUUGGCCUAAACGACAAAGACACGACACACAGUGCAGUGAAACUGUGGCUCAGUGUGUCACAGAUGGCAGCUCUAACCUGGAACUGGAAACACUUUCUAAGCACUGACCUGAGUUUGGGUCUGAGCUCCGUCUGCUGCAGCAGCAACACAAGGAGCUGCUGUUGGUCGUACCAAUCAGCACGGACACUGACCUUAGGUGGGACCUGCUGGAGGGCUGCUCACCUCUGAUUGGUUAUAGCUGCUAACUAUAUUGAGGUUAUAUUGAACAGCUGGUGUACACAUUUGAAAGCACGUACUGCUUCAGUGAUCUUCUCGUGUGAAACAUUCAAAACUGAUCAAACGUAAGGAUUAGAAGUGAAGAUUCAGUUUUAUUUGUACAGGACAAAAUAACAACAACAGUUGUCUCAAGACCCCACAAUGAUAGGUUUCCAGGACAUAGACCAAGCCGAGUCGAUUUCACUUUGAGUUUACUGAAAUUGAAGUCCUCGGCUCUGAAUUUUGAUCUGAAUUUUCUAAAUGUUUCUAGAUUAGGUUGAUAAAUGUGUGGUAGACGGGUCUCUGUGUCAGAAGUCUCUAGGCUGUCAUGUGUUUAUCUGUGCUUUGGAUUCAUUCAGAGACCACCUGCUGACUCCUGAGCAAAGAACAUAUCACAAAGUGUUCACUCAGGCCUGAAAGAAAUCCUCAUUUUUAAAUAGGUUUUUGAAAUGUUUUUGUUUAGUUCUGGUUUUAUUUUUAAUUCAUUUAUUCAUUUUGUUUCAGACUGUCUCCCGUUGUUGUUGCUGUUAACAUGUUAAAGUCAGUGUGCUUUAAACAAGCAGGAUGUGGUGCUUGUGAUGGUUUAAAAGAGGGUUCCAGCAUUAGAGUAAUUCUCUGUUUAAAGCAUGUUGAGGCCUGAAGUGUCCGAACCAAACACAACCUUAAAUUUCUCUUUGUGCUCAGGGCCUCAUAGUUUGGGUGAUAUGAGGCCCUAGUGAUGGGUGAUAACAUGAUUAAAGCAUUUUAUUGAGGGGAAAAAUGUCGACAUUCACACUCCAAUCGAUGCAACAUGGGGUCAGUAUCAUGCCUCCACCUCCGGAGCUACAGCCACCCUGUAAAAAAAAUAAAUAAAUAAAAAUAAACCCUGAAGCCGUGAACAAACUCAUCAUAGCCAAAAACACCUGCAGGGUGUAAAAGUAAAGCUGAGCUUCAUUCAUGUAACAAGAAUCGUUGAGGAAAUUUAGAGCAUUAAAUAAAAGAAGUCAACUGACA